CGNGCGNUGUCUUAACACAUGCAAGUCGAACGCGAAAGGGACUUCGGUCCUGAGUAAAGUGGCGCACGGGUGAGUAACGCGUGGAUAAUCUACCCAAUGAUCUGGGAUAACAUCUCGAAAGAGGUGCUAAUACCGGAUAAGACCACGAAGUCUUAGGACUUUGCGGUAAAAGGUGGGGACCUUCGGGCCUACCGUCAUCGGAUGAGUCCGCGUACCAUUAGCUAGUUGGUGGGGUAAUGGCCUACCAAGGCUACGAUGGUUAGCUGGUCUGAGAGGAUGAUCAGCCACACUGGAACUGAGACACGGUCCAGACUCCUACGGGAGGCAGCAGUGGGGAAUUUUGCGCAAUGGGGGAAACCCUGACGCAGCAACGCCGCGUGAGUGAUGAAGGCUUUCGGGUCGUAAAGCUCUGUCAGAGGGGAAGAAAUGCAUUGGUGCUAAUAUCAUCUUUGCUUGACGGUACCCUCAAAGGAAGCACCGGCUAGCUCCGUGCCAGCAGCCGCGGUAAUACGGAGGGUGCGAGCGUUGUUCGGAAUUAUUGGGGCGUAAAGCGCGUGUAGGCGGUCUUUUAAGUCUGAUGUGAAANCCCCGGGGCUCAACCCGGGAAGUGCAUUGGAAACUGGGAGACUUGAAUACGGGAGANGGUANUGGANUCCUANUGUAGGANUGAAUCCGUAAAUUUUAGGAGGAAACGGUNGCGAAGGGGCUACUNGNCCGAUAUUGACCUNAAACCNAAAGGUGGNUANAAAANGAUNAAUACCUGGUANUCACCCNUAACAAAAAUAAANGUUUGCGGUAUG
RNAcentral lists this ribosomal RNA (800 nucleotides) under uncultured delta proteobacterium. Its description in RNAcentral is "partial 16S ribosomal RNA". It matches the Rfam family "Bacterial small subunit ribosomal RNA", at positions 36 to 826 of the family's 1533-position model. Lineage: Bacteria; Deltaproteobacteria. The record is from RNAcentral.